RNAcentral lists this ribosomal RNA (253 nucleotides) under uncultured bacterium. Its description in RNAcentral is "partial 16S ribosomal RNA". It matches the Rfam family "Bacterial small subunit ribosomal RNA", at positions 524 to 776 of the family's 1533-position model. The record is from RNAcentral.
UACGAAGGGGGCUAGCGUUGUUCGGAAUUACUGGGCGUAAAGCGCGCGCAGGCGGCUAUCCAAGUCAGUGGUGAAAGCCCGGAGCUCAGCUCCGGAACUGCCAUUGAAACUGUUUAGCUUGAGGAUGAGAGAGGUGAGUGGAAUUCCCAGUGUAGAGGUGAAAUUCGUAGAUAUUGGGAAGAACACCGGUGGCGAAGGCGGUCUCCUGGGGCUAACUUGACGCUGAGACGCGAAAGCUGGGGGAGCGAACGGG